Long non-coding RNA from Equus caballus (horse), 2115 nucleotides. The record is from Ensembl. NCBI's taxonomy places the organism in Eukaryota, Metazoa, Chordata, Mammalia, Perissodactyla, Equidae.
CAAGAAACGAUUGUCCCAUUUAAAUACGAGAGCUGGUUAUGAUACAGCCUGAUCUGUGGAUAAAAUCCUAGGACUGAGGAUUUGCCUUUAGUCAACUAAGAAGAUACACAGAGUUUAUGAAUGACAUCACCAGGAUGGAAGAGCAGGAGGCGUCUGCCUCUGUCCCUGCCCCCCGAAAAGGAUCAAUAAUUAGACAGCUAUCCACAAACCAAAAUAGCUCUGGGAAAGCUCUGGAGUCCACCUAAGAAAUUUCAGCAACACAGUGGAACAAAAGACCUGAGAAUACACAAAAAGGGAAGGAAGACAGCUUCAUUUUGCCUAUAUCAUCCUGUCCCCAAAGCCAGCACUGCUCAGCCACAAGAGGGAACCUCCACUGCCGUGAGCCUGCAACAAACCCAGCAGCCAGGGUAGUGCGUACUGACAGCCAGGGGCACUGCUGGUGGGAAGGUAAAUUGGUAUAGCCACUAAGGAAAACAGUACGGAAGUUCCUUAAAAGAUUAAAAAUAGAAACACCUCUGAUCCAGCAAUCCUACUUCUGGGUAUAUAUCCUAAGAUGAUGAAAUCACUAUCUCAAAGAGGCAUCUGGACUCCCACGUUCAUCGCAGCAUUAUUCAUUAUUCAUUAUUCAUAUCAUUCAUCAUUUAUUAUUCAUAUUAUUAAUGAAUAAUAAUUCAUUACUCAAUAGCCAAGACACAGGAACAACCUAAGUGUCUUUCGAUGGAUGAAUGGAUUUUAAAAUGUGGUCUAUACAAUGGAAUAUUAUUCAGCCACAAAAAAAGAAGCAAAUCCUGCCAUUUGCGACAACUGAGAUGGACUUUGAGGGCAUCAUGCUAAAUGAAAUAAGUCAGACAGAGAAAGACAAACACUGUAUGAUCUCAUUUAUAUGUGGAACUUAAAAACAUCAAAUUCAUAGAAACAAGAAGAAUAGUGGUUUUGAGGGGCUGAGGAGUGGUAGGAAUGGGGACAUGUUGGUCAAGGAUACAAACUUUCGGUGAUAAGAUGAAUAAGUUCCAGGACUCUAAUGUACAGCAUGAUGACUAUAAUUAACAAUAUUGUAUUGUAUACUUGAAAACUGCUAUGAGAGUAGAGCUUUCAUGUUCUCAUCAUAACAACAAUGAAAUGGUCACUAUGUGAGGGGAAGGAUGUAUUAGCUAACCUUACUGUGGUAAAUAUUUCACAAUGCAUACAUGUAUCUAAUCACUGCAUUGUAUACCAUAAACUUAUACAACGUUACAUGUCAAUUAUGUCUCAAUAAGGCUGGAACGAAAAAAAAGAACCUUGAAAUAUCAGAAGAACAAAUAUUAUUUCCAAUACGGUCAUGGGGUUGUGAGUUGGUAAAUAGAGAAACACCUGUUCUUAAGAAGUAAGUUCAAAUGGUAACUACAGUUUCAGAUAGGCUUAUCUUCAAAUAGAUGUAAUAACAAUCUUCAGAGUCCUCCAUCUUUUCAGACAAAAUCUACCAAAAUGCACAUAAGUGACAACCUUGAUUAGUGGCAUCUAAAUCAUAAGAAUUAUGUUCUGUAGUGAAAGAAAAGAAUAUAGUUGGGGACAGUUUAAAUUCAUAUGUAACGAAUGGUGCUCUUUUUAUGUGCCGGUCCUCUGCUAUUCAUAUUCAUGAUCUUGAAGCCAGGUAACCGAGGGUUACUGCAAAUAUUCCAUAAGAAUGUGGUUACCCUCCGACCUUGUUCCCAACACAGACACAGAUGAAAAGAAGUUACUAAGUAGCCUUAGUCACCAUUAGAUAUAGUUGUUGAAUCCAAAUGGUUGCUUCACAGCCAGCACAUAAUUAUAACUUACUGACUUGUUUUCUUGUCUAACCAAAGGGGUCACUUAAGGAUUUAUGAGCUUGUUUCACAAAGGAAAAAGAAUGCCUUUAAAGAAGUUACAAUCACCAGACAACCAGCCCUAGCUGCCACUAACACCAAGCAGUCUGGUUGCCCAAGGUCUUAUCUAAAGUGAAAGAAACACAGUCUUGACCCUUUGUUUCCCCAAAACUCCACCUCCCAAGCCCCUUAGCCCUAUAAAGACUCCCUGCUUUCUCCUUUGUUAAGGAAGAUCUGAGAGAACCUAUUCUCCCGCCUUCUUAUUCUGGCCAAUUUGAAUAAACCUUUCUCU